Molecule: long non-coding RNA, 734 nt
Filed under: Mus caroli (Ryukyu mouse)
Lineage: Eukaryota; Metazoa; Chordata; Mammalia; Rodentia; Muridae
Description: lncRNA (MGP_CAROLIEiJ_G0006055.1)
Source: RNAcentral
UAGGGGACAUCUGUGUGCACUGACUGAACUAGCUGUGUCUGCUUCCUGGGGGAGAGACAGGAUCUCUUUGGAUUGUCAAAGGGAAGCAGAGAAGCCAGCAUAUUAGCAAAGGGAAGAGGGAGUUAGGGGUGGUUGUGGGGUCUGAAAAGAAAGGUGAGGUAGGGGGCAGUUAGAAGACUGUGGCAGUAAUUCAGGAAGAGGUGACAGUGACUCCAACAAGGGUUGGGGGCGGGGAGAGUGUUUUCUCACAUACUUAGAACUGGAAUAAAUAAGAUUUAUAGCAAAGUACUUCCUGCCAAAACCAGACUGCCAUCCCGACGUGCAGGAAAGAUGAUUCAGAAGAUAACAGCGCUGCCUGGGCUUGAGAACCAGAACCCACGUAAAAACGGUUACGUGGUAUACAACUAUAACCCCAGCAUUCCUGCUGACGGGUUUCUGGGGCUUGCUGACCAGCCAGGCUCGGGUUCAGUGACAGGCCCCUUCGAGGAAGUAGAGUGACAGAGCAGAAUACUCAGCGCCCCCUUCUGGCUUCCACAGGUACACCCGCAAGUGCACCUGCAUACACACGUGUGCAUUCGUGUGCAAACAAAGAAAACUCAUGAAUCUCAAAGGAACAUUCUCAAGGCUUUUUUAAAAAGUGAAGAUAUAAAGCAUAAAGUGGAAAAUAACAGCUAUUAUCAUUUUGAAUGCUUUUAAUAUAAAUUAAACAAUCUUUUAUAAAGUGCUUAGGGUUA